Molecule: ribosomal RNA, 322 nt
Filed under: uncultured eukaryote
Lineage: Eukaryota
Description: partial 18S ribosomal RNA
Rfam family: Eukaryotic small subunit ribosomal RNA
Source: RNAcentral
CCCUUAGAUGUUCUGGGCCGCACGCGCGCUACACUGAUGCAUUCAACGAGUUUCUUCCUGGUCCGAGAGGAAUGGGUAACCUUUUGAAAGUGCAUCGUGAUAGGGAUAGACUAUUGCAAUUAUUGGUCUUCAACGAGGAAUUCCUAGUAGACGUAGUUCAUCAGACUGCAUCGAUUACGUCCCUGCCCUUUGUACACACCGCCCGUCGCUCCUACCGAUUGAAUGCUCAGGUGAGCCAUUCGGACUUUCAUCAUGCUGGUUUCCAGUUUUGAUGAAGGAAAGUCUUGAACCUUAUCAUUUAGAGGAAGGAGAAGUCGUAACA